UUCCAUUCAUUUAUCUUGCCCUAUGUAGUUGUGUUGCUUCCUCCUUGAUAUGUUCUCUCUUUCCACACAUCUCUCGAUCUGUUCUCUCUUUCCACACAUCAACGACCACUGCGUGUAGCUAGAUCAGGCAACUCGAGGGGGCUGGAGAUCCACUGGACGCUCUCCGGUGAUGCUGCACCCGCGGUAGCAGUGGAGACUUUUUGCUGCGGGCUGCAAGUCGGCUCGGCUACCAUUCCAUAUGUGCUUUUCUGCUGGAGUCAGGAGGUGCAGGUCGACAGCGGCGGCGAUGGCAUGCUAUGAUGGGCGGCGCCAGUGCAAGUUGCAGAAUCCAACGUCUAGCAAAGCUGCAUCCGGCAGGGGGGGUUGACGGGGGGAUAAACCAUGGGUAGCCUCAUCCACAUCCCAGCAGAUUUCGAGACAUCAGGGCUAGCCUAACCCCUCAGUAUGACUGGUCGCAAGGCCGGCCCCCGUGGUCGGCUGGCGCCAACGGGCCGCCUCCUAGAAGGCGACGCAUCCCAGUAUGCGCCGAGGGCACGGGCCGAUCCCUACCAGGCAGCCCUUUGCCUCCUCAAAGUCUGCACCCACCUGCUACGACAAGUCAGGGCAUGGCAACAGUGCCACCUGCCACCCUCGAAUCCCGGACAGAACGUGGCCAUAGUGUGGGUAUACCAGGCGGACAUCCCUCACCUGACAAGACACUGUAGCCACGCGGCCCACGAUGGUCCCUACGUCGGGGAGGGCCAUGCCCCCACGACGGACGGUAGGUGUGGCCUGCCGGUGGCGGGCCCCACCUGCCUGUGUAUCACCAGAAGGCGGCAAGGCCUAAGCAGGCGGCCGUCCCUUCCCUUGGAGUCCAUGCGCCAUUAACUAGAAGUGACGGUGUGGCUAUAGUGAUCGCCCUCCAGGCGGCGGUAUUGUAGCCAUACACCCCCCCCCCCGACCAAGCUACCGUCAUCAGAGGCAAGGCUACAGUGCGACCUAGUCCUCCUGGCCCACAGGCGGCGGGCCCUACCUGUCGGCCGAGACCGUGACAGUUGGCAGGGCCCACCAGGCGGCGGACCCCAGCUAUCAGCAGAGAAGCCGGAGCCCAUAGACAUUGACGGGCGGGUCCUACGACCAGCUGGAUUACCAUUGUACCCCUGGGGGUAGGCCUAUAUAAGCCCCCCAGGGUCACCCAUGCAAAGGGUUCAACCCCUAGUUCACCAUUCCACCCACAUAGGUAAGGAGGAGUAGAGCAAGCUUGCCUUCUUCCUCCUCUAGCCGAAACAGCUCAAGGAGCACUUUGUAGCCCGCUAUUUGAUCAUAGUGAUGCAGACACCCCGCAGAGCAGGAUUAGGGGUGUUAUAUCCA
Molecule: long non-coding RNA, 1350 nt
Organism: Triticum dicoccoides
Lineage: Eukaryota; Viridiplantae; Streptophyta; Magnoliopsida; Poales; Poaceae
Exons: 2
Source: RefSeq, a predicted model, not a curated record